This 709-nucleotide ribosomal RNA is filed under the name Myxobolus sp. RNAcentral describes it as "partial large subunit ribosomal RNA". It matches the Rfam family "Eukaryotic large subunit ribosomal RNA", at positions 67 to 644 of the family's 3401-position model. The record is from RNAcentral. Lineage: Eukaryota; Metazoa; Cnidaria; Myxozoa; Bivalvulida; Myxobolidae.
AACAAUGAUUCCCUUAGUAACUGCGAGUGAAGUGGGAAGAGCUCAACGUUGAAAGCUACAUUUUUAACGAAAUGUCGCAUUGUAACGUAUAGACAUGUUAUCGAGACAAUUGUUGGCAUCAAAGUCGUUGUGAAUAACGCACCAGAGAGGGUGUUAGUCCCGUGUGUGAUGUUGACGAAAUUGUUGUGAAUAGCAAUGUCAUAGAGUCGGAUUGUUUGGGAAUGCAGUCUAAAGUGGGUGGUAAACUCCAUCUAAAGCUAAAUAUUACCUCGAGACCGAUAGCGAACAAGUACCGCGAGGGAAAGUUGAAAAGCACUCUGAAAAGAAAGUGAAAAGUACGUGAAACCGUUAAUGGGGAAGCGUACGAUAGAAUCAAAGUGAUGCAUUGUGGGUGUGCGUAAUGUGUGAAAGCAUAUACGUAACAGGAAUCAAUGCAUUACGCGCUGGGCUCGUUGCGAACCGAUUGACAAUGCAAAAGAGUGGAUGACCAAAGGCAUGCCAUAAGGUAUGAAUUAAUUAUCCGUCUUUGCAAUUGUUGUAAAAUUGAGUUUGUGACGGUGGUGUGUAGUCGUGAUGCAGGAGUGGUGGAGAGCGGUAGUGUUGUAGUUUGGUUCAAAGAAUCGAAGACAACACUAGUGAGGGAAGCCAAAACUGUGUUAGGGCGAAAUACGAAAGUGACACACAAAUCUCAGCGAGAUAUGCUAUUGUA